CAUCCGGCAACCUUAUCGAACUUUCCUACCUAGUUCUAAUGGCUUGUUCAGUAUUAUUUUGUUGUCAUAUUAGCUGUAAAUAAGGUGAUAGAUUGGGAGGAAAUUAUGUGGAGUUUAUAAAACAGGAUUCAUAUCAGGAGUAUCAAGGAAUUUUUCAAAUCAAUGAGAAAAUUUACUCAACAGAAAAAUGCACUAAAGCAUAUGAACAGACAGUUUAUAGAAGGAAGCCUGUGUGGGUCAACUGUGAAAAGAUGCUCAGCCUCACUAGUAGAGAAAGGCAAAGUCAGUCAUCAGAGAGCUGUCAGAUCUCAAACUGGUAAAAGAUAAAGAGCCAGAUAAUACCAGUUACAGUGAGACCAGGAAAACCUGGACUCUCGUGCACACAGGUGAGGCCGUGCCGGAGUGUGUCUGGGCGGCCCCAGGGAAAUCGUGAGUGCGUGUGGAGCUUAAUGAAGAUGUUCAGCACGGAACUGCUUGCUGGCUGCAUGGUCUUGAGCAGAUGACUUAACCUUAAGUUUCUCAUCUCUACAAUGUACACACCGACAGAACCCAGCUCAGAGUCGUGAGGCUAAACCUCGCUCGUAGGUCUGAGGCCCCAGAGCGGGGCUGCCAAGCGGGAAGCAUCGUCAGUGUCAGAGCUGGUGUCACUGUUACUCUGUGUCCUGCCACUAUGCUCCUGGAGUCAGAUGUGGAGAAUGGAAUGAGGGGUGAUGGGAGGAUUUUAAGUAGAACAAGAGAGGAGUCUUCGCUUAGUUAGAUCAUAGUGAACUGAGAAGUACCUUGGAAACCAAAUAAAGAAGUAAGCCAGGUGUAUUUAUUACAGACAAACUGGCCAGUCGAGAAAAACAUGAAGAAAAGCCACCUAUAAAAGGUCCCCCAUUUACUAUCGUUGAUCAUUAAGGCUUGUAUCUCACCCACUUGGGGUGCUUGUUUGAAAUGAUGGCUUCUGCACACCACCCCAGAUUUGCUAAAUCACAAUCUGAGGACAGUGCUUGGUUUGGUGCACACAAAAAUUUGAUUUAUUUGGGCUGACUUGUCCACAGCCCAGACUCAUCCAGAAAUAACGGUUGCCAGAUUUGCUUUGUUAUUGCCUAACUGUCAAAGCUGAGUUUUUCAUCCAGUUAGGUUCAGAGAUUUAGGAUCUAUAUUAAGCUGUUGAAGCUGCUGUUUUUAUUGCUAGAAACUCAUAUUUUAAUGUAAAAAUGGGACCCUUUCCCAUUGGGUGUGGAAGAAGAACCUGGAGAUUGACUAUGAGUUUCUUACAUCGUAAGCACCAGACAGUGACUACAGUCAGGCUGUGGAUGAACCACUUCCAGCCACCAACUGCAGUGUGGCCGUGUUAGGAGCCGAAGCAGCCCGAAUCGCUGGACAGGUCUCAGUGAAGUUGAUGCUCUGGUGUGCAGACCACACCGAGAACCACUGGAAAUUAGAACGUGGAUUCGAAGGAAGCACUGGCGGAUCCAUCCUGCGCUGGAAGAGAAAGUGAAGAGGUGAGAAGGGAUAGAAAGAAAAGAAAGAAGAAAGGAAAAGGCAGGUCACGUUUAAGACAUGCACUGGUAAGGAAUGAUGUAGCAAGAAAAAAUAACGGAGAAAUCUCGAGAUUUCUGCUAAAAGUACAACCAUGUGGUAUUAACCGUCUCAAAAGAAACACCAAUUCUUUGUGGAGUUUUUCUUGUUUGUUUGUUUGUUUUCAUUGAAAAGGAGAAAAUGUAUGGCCCACAAGCCGUAAAGAUGUAAUCCCCCCAAACCAGAGCCUGGGGUGCACUGGCAAGGCCCUGGCGCCCUGGCCGAGCUUUGGCCUUGCCUGUGGCCAGAAUGCCCAGGGUAGCAUCCGCCCUGGCGCCCGUCAGCAAAGGGAACGGUCUGUUCCUUUACUUGGGUAAACGGCGCACGGGCCCCUGCUGGUUCUCGAGUCAGCGGGGAGGUUCGCAGGCCAGGCCGCUGCCUCCUCGGGGUCAGUUUAAGGUCCACAGCAGGCCCUUUGCCCCGCCUCCCUCGGGGCCCUGUCCUCCCUGGGUUAGCAGAACCAGCUCCUGAAGAGGUGCCGAAUUCUCACGAACUGUUACAGCCAGAUUGUUUUCCUCGUCGCUUUUGUUUUGAUGUGUCUUGAAAUAAUUAGGCUUUUGCUCUCAAACGUUUCCAUUCUCCCUGCCUGGCUCACGCAGGCAUCUCUCACACACCACCCCGGGCGAGACGUGCUACUAUGGUAUCCAGUAAACAGCUGCCAAACAAAGCCAAGAGUCUCGCUCGAGUCAAGUUCCCUUCUGUACUUGUUGUUCUUCCAUCUGCCCUGAGCUGUGGAAUCGCUGUCCAGAACGUAACCCACUGCACCUCUGCGGAGCUUAAGAAAAGCAGCCCUUUGGACCUAUGCCAUUGACGUCCUUGCAACAUUUUAAUUAUCCAUUUGUUGGUUAGCAAGUCGGUCUAGGAAGAAAUCUUUCUUUUAUUCUUGGGAAGUAUGUACUGGGGGAGUUCAGUAAAGACUAGUAUAUGCUGACGCCCUGCUCUGCGCCAGGGCCUGUGGAGUGGCGGGCAGUCUCUGUCCAAGGACGCUCACGGUCUCGUGGGAACACGAGAGCUGAGAAGGAGCAAACGAGAAACUGGGAACGGCCAAGGGCCUGUUGAGUGGUCACCAUCCAACAGUGAGGUCAGACCAGGGAGGUCGCUGGGAAGAAAAGACACGUUUUCCUGUCUGGGGGCAACUGCCCCCUCCAUCACCAAGACCCGCACCCCCAGGCAAAGGUGAUGAAGCAGCUGGCCUCCUGCCUACCAUCCCUGGUCCUGCCCUGUGUCUCACUAUGUCCCUACAGACACUGUUCUAAGUUCCCAAUGUAUUUCUCCAAAACGUAGGAAUUGGAUUCACAUGAUCACUGAUGCCUCGGUUAUAUAAUAUUACUCAUUUUAUACAGAAUAUCUCAUUUUUUCAUAUAACAACCCCAGGAGGGAGGGAUAAUUCUUCCCAAAUUACAACAGGACAAGUCAGAGAGGUUAAGGAAUUUGCCUCGUCACUCAGCAAGGGGUGGAGCCAGGACCCAAACCGAUUGGUCUGUUCUGCACCCGGGCGGCCCCUGGCUCUCAGCUGUAAGUUGCAAUUUUGGUGCCCAGUACUAGCAGCACAACGGCUUCGCAAAUAAUGUUGUGAUUUAUUACGUGACUGAAAGAACACCCCAGCAGCUUCCGGGUUUAAUGACUCUUGCUAAUGACAGUUUCUAGCCGAAGAAAUUUACACGCUGUCGACAUGCAAAUGUAAUUUUUUUUCCAAUGGCCAUGCCAGGCCACAGCCUCCCUGUGGGCCCCGCACUGUGCAGGAUCCAGUCCCUGGAGUUCCACAGCCUCGCUGCCAACGCAGAACCUGGAGCGGCUGGCACAGACAGCCCCGGACGGCUGAGACGCCACCUGCACCUGCUGGACCCGGGGGUGCUCCGCACGUGCAGAAGGAGAAGCACUGCCCCGAGGCCUCGAGAGACCGGGGCAGGCGGGAAAGAAGAGGCAGGAUUUAUGUGUGGAGGGCAGCAAGGGCCAGAGGGCCGAAAGCAAGCGCUGGAAGCAUACGGCUGAGGCUGGGAAGAGUUCGCACUGAGAAAUGGCAGCACAUAAAGUUGGGAAAGUAGGUUAGAGCCGAACCGCUCAGGUCUCUUAAGUGUCCUCUUUGGAGAAAUUGUCUUCAGCUCGGCUCCCCUGCCCGCUUUUUAAUUGGAUUGUUUGUUUGGGGGGCGUUACGUUGCACGAGUUGCUUAUAUAGUGUCGAUAUUAACCCCUUACCGGAUGCAUCAUUGGCAAAUGUCUUCUCCCAUCCAGUAGGUCGUCUUUUCAUCGUGCUGGUGGUUUCCAUCUCUCUGCAAAACCUUUUUCGUUCGACGUGGUCCCGUCAUUUACUUUCUCCUUUGUUUCUCUUGCCGGAGGAGACACAUCCAAAAAGAGGACGGCCGAGAGUGGCGGACGGCCGUCGUCGUGCCGUGGGUCCGCAUGGUGGGGAGAGCGAGCGUGCUCUGGUCACGUCCUCUUCUGAAAAGGUCACCGAUUCCAUCACGGGGGCCGCACCCUCGUGACCUCAUCUCAACCCCAUCUCCUGCAGGCUUCUCCAGCCGCCAUCGCCUUAGGAGUUCGGGUUUCGAAGGAGGAAUUUGGGAAGGACACAAACGCUUAGUCAACAGCAAAUACCCACUGGCUGCCUUCGCCACAGAUAUUUUCCGUUAAGUGGGGAAAUGGCGGAGCGUGUUCGGAACACGUGAACCGUUCUGGUGUGGAGCCUGAACGCACGGUGGGACCGCGAGGCUUGUUUUCUAAGAAGCUUUUUGAGUUUCAGGUCAAAGGUGAAGAAGUGAAGGCACCGCGAUACUUGAACAUGAUCCUGCUGAUCGCCCAGGUCUUUUAAGGUCACAGACCUUAAUCAGAGACAAGACCAGACCUUUCCAUUCCUCAUCUGCUCUUCUGGACUCCAAAGCACCGCCUGUCUCCAAAAAGGAAAAUUAAAAACACAAAAUCUCAAGUGGUUUGAUAGUAAUUCAGCCCAGCAAAUUUUACUUUCCAUUAAAAGUCACCAGCUGUCAUGUGCUUAGCUUUAAAUGGAAAUAACUUGCUCCGAAAGAACAUUUUUUCAGUCGAUGUCACUUGCGAGUUUUAUUUUCUUCUGAAGAAAAAUGGAUUCGCAUUACUGCGGCUUUGGGGACAGGAAACCCCUGGACGGACGCCUGACUUGGUGAUCUGCCCCUGCCACAAGGAAAGCUGAUUGCUCCUCCAGGAGCCCGGAGGACGGGCACCGCGGGCAGGAGGGGGCUUUGGGGGACCGGAGGAGAACGGGUGCCAGUCACGUGGCAUCUUCUCGCAGUGAGCUUCUCGCGGUGCUGAUUCCCUUAAAUAAAAGAUUUUUUUAAUUAAAAAAUGCUUUUAAGUGUUGACGUUUUGGAGAGAGGCGUGAUACUUUUACGUGCCUAACGGUUUUAGGGAGGCAGCCCUUCUGAAACACGUGCGCUCAGGGCCUGUCACAGCUGAGGCCGGACCCCGACCAGAGCUCUUCUCUGCGGCCCUCACCACGUGCAAGUUCCUGGAGCCUUGUCUGGCGACUGAAAUGAUCUCUUCGGGACUCAAGAACAAAACAAAUGGGCGGGGCAGGGCGGGGCGCGCAGGCAGGAGGGCGAGGCCUAGGACCCUGGCUUGGCCCACUGGGCAGGGCCUGGUGCGGAGGGCAGAGCAGGCGGCGUGAGAGUUGCUCCGGCCGGGUCCUGACCUGCGGGAAAUUAACUGAGGGGACAGGGGAACUAGUGGGACUUGUAAACAAAGGGCGACGCUGACAGCCUCGGCACCGAGCAGGCCCAAACCCGGGGGUGGAGGCGCCCUUCAGCAGGGUCCCCAGCAGGGGCGGGUGGCUUCUCCUGCGUCAUCAGCCCCAGCACGUGCACAGGGGUGUCACACACCACCCCCGGGAGAGAUCCCUGCGACACUCAAACCCGUGGCUGUUACAAGGUCCCUCCCAGCCGAGACCAGACUUUCCCUGAGCCCCCAUCUCCAUGCGUACAGUCAGGGCUCAGAGGUGUCCGUGUCCAAGAAUUUGUGAAUAAUGUUCUCGACAGACACCUCAGCUCCCAGCUCCUCUGGAUGCGGGGCGGCGGGGCUGCCCCCGGGGGAGACCCCUGGCAGCCCCUGUCUGAGCAGCCGGGGCCAGCUCCAGGAACACUCAAUUCUGGCGCCCUUGCCGCCCAGGCCUGGUUACUUCAGCCUCCCUCUCCUCCCCCUGUCUCUUCCAGCAGGAGGCUGCCAAGGCGUUCGUCAUGGUUCCAGGCUAGCCUGCUGCUUGAUUUAUGCUCGACAGGGCAGGAGCGCAGACUCUAAAGGGGCUGAAGGCAAGCGGGGGCCGGGGUCGGAGGUGCUGGGUGGUCCUGUCGCCCCAGGCGUUGCUGAGAGGGCCCCCGGUUUUAGAAUCAACUCUCUGACCCUCUUAGGGCCAAGGAACACUCAGCC
This is a long non-coding RNA of Pteropus alecto (black flying fox), 5958 nucleotides long. RefSeq lists it as uncharacterized. NCBI's taxonomy places the organism in Eukaryota, Metazoa, Chordata, Mammalia, Chiroptera, Pteropodidae. The transcript has 3 exons. The record is from RefSeq and is a predicted model, not a curated record.